AACGAACGCUGGCGGCGUGCCUAAUACAUGCAAGUCGAGCGAGAAAGUCUUCGGAUGAGUAAAGCGGCGGACGGGUGAGUAACACGUGGGUAAUCAACCUUCUAGUGGGGAAUAACGUUUCGAAAGGAGCGCUAAUACCGCAUGUGAAUACGAGUCGUUGGAUUUGUAUUCAAAGGGGGGUCGCAAGAUCUCUCGCCAGAAGACGAGCCUGCGUCCCAUUAGCUAGUUGGUGAGGUAAAGGCUCACCAAGGCAACGAUGGGUAGCUGGUCUGAGAGGACGACCAGCCACACUGGGACUGAGACACGGCCCAGACUCCUACGGGAGGCAGCAGUUGGGAAUCUUGGACAAUGGGGGAAACCCUGAUCCAGCCAUGCCGCGUGAGUGAUGAAGGCCUGGUU
RNAcentral lists this ribosomal RNA (399 nucleotides) under uncultured bacterium. RNAcentral describes it as "bacterial SSU rRNA". It matches the Rfam family "Bacterial small subunit ribosomal RNA", at positions 29 to 424 of the family's 1533-position model. The record is from RNAcentral.